UACGGAGGAUGCGAGCGUUAUCCGGAUUUAUUGGGUUUAAAGGGUGCGUAGGCGGACGCUUAAGUCAGCGGUAAAAUUGCGGGGCUCAACCUCGUCGAGCCGUUGAAACUGGCAGACUUGAGUUGGCGAGAAGUACGCGGAAUGCGCGGUGUAGCGGUGAAAUGCAUAGAUAUCGCGCAGAACUCCGAUUGCGAAGGCAGCGUACCGGCGCCAGACUGACGCUGAGGCACGAAAGCGUGGGGAUCGAACAGG
This 252-nucleotide ribosomal RNA is filed under the name uncultured bacterium. RNAcentral's name for it is "partial 16S ribosomal RNA". It matches the Rfam family "Bacterial small subunit ribosomal RNA", at positions 524 to 776 of the family's 1533-position model. The record is from RNAcentral.